UACGUAGGAGGCGAGCGUUGUCCGGAAUUACUGGGCGUAAAGAGCGCGUAGGCGGCGCGAUACGACCGGAUGUGAAAGCCCCCGGCUCAACUGGGGAGGGUCAUCGGUACGGUCGUGCUAUGAGUGCAGGAGGGGGAAGUGGAACUCCGGGAGUAGCGGGUGAAAUGCGUAGAGACCCGGAGGAACACCAGUGGCGAAGGGCGGCU
RNAcentral lists this ribosomal RNA (206 nucleotides) under uncultured bacterium. Its description in RNAcentral is "partial 16S ribosomal RNA". It matches the Rfam family "Bacterial small subunit ribosomal RNA", at positions 524 to 726 of the family's 1533-position model. The record is from RNAcentral.